RNAcentral lists this long non-coding RNA (715 nucleotides) under Bemisia tabaci. Its description in RNAcentral is "lncRNA ENSSSA2NGG012448". Lineage: Eukaryota; Metazoa; Arthropoda; Insecta; Hemiptera; Aleyrodidae. The record is from RNAcentral.
GUAAUUUAAGAAGUCUGGUAUCAUUUUAUCAGUUCGUCCAUGCAUUACAUCUGAAACCGCCGGAAUACUCUACCGUAGUUGAAAGUGAUGAUAAGCAUGUAGAGGCUCUUUGUGAAACUUUGCAAAUCACUGAGGAAGAAUUUGAACGACUGAAUUGUUUGGUUCGAUCAAGUGAUAUGGUUGAUGAAGGGAAAAGUCGAGCUAAAGUGACUUUUAGCUCAAAUAAAGGAGAAUUUUCAGAAUUCCUAAAUUCUUUCAAUUUGAACGCAGAAAAUGGAGUCAUCUCUUUGGUGUGUGAUUUUGCCGAGGAAAAAUUGUUCCGCAUCAGUGAAUUAGUUUGCCAGGGUGCAGCAGGAAAGUGUUGUCCUAUUGUUGAAUGGCAAUCUGCUUGUAGAGAAAGCCGAAUUAUGUCUUUUGAUUUGCUAAAAAUCUUACUCAAGUAUUGGCUAAAGAAAAAACAUCAGUCUAAGCUGUAUUACAUCGAAAUGCUAAAUUUUACAAAACUCAUAAUUGCAGUUUGCCAGUUGAAUGGUAUCAAGUCUCAUUUCUGGCCGGAGCUGCGAAAAUUAAUUGCUGCAAGCACCGAUUGCAUUUCGGCCUUGUCGAUUUCAUUUAUUUCAGAGGAGUAGCUGCAAUGUUCGAAAAGAUCGUAGUAGGUAUGUAUACAUUUUUGUCUUCAAGAAACAUUUGUUAUAAUGAGUGGCACUGUAAAUAA